This 1847-nucleotide long non-coding RNA is filed under the name Panax ginseng (ginseng). RNAcentral describes it as "long non-coding RNA (PGIN_LNC013902)". The record is from RNAcentral. Lineage: Eukaryota; Viridiplantae; Streptophyta; Magnoliopsida; Apiales; Araliaceae.
CGGGUUUCAAGUACCUAAAUUUGGGGGCGUUACAGGCAAUGGCAGUGGUGGCGGCGGUGGGUGGCGUGCUUCUUCUCCUUCUUCUCUUCUCCCCCUUCUCUCUCUUAUCUCUAUUCUGCUCCCUCUUUUUUUUUCCUUCAUCUCUAUGUCGAGCGAAUGCCUAAUACUGGUUACAUUAAGUUUGAUUAGCGACCGCAUGUGGUCGCUAAUUUUUAAUGACAUGGACUUAUCAGCGACUGCAUGCGAUCGCUGAUAUUAAGUGAUCGCACAAAACCUUUGCGCCAACAUUUCCUGCUAAAUUUUAGGAGGCAAAUUUGUGUUAGCGACCGCAUGUGGUCGCAUCUGCGGUCGCUGAUAGUAUUGGUCGCAUUUAGACCUUUUUCUUUUUUUUAUCAAAAGUGCCUUUAACGUUACAAAUUUUUGGUCAACAUUGCACCUCCUGUUGACGGAUAUGCGACCUAGACUAAUGUGAUCGACACAUGGACAUAUUUUGUUGAUGAGACCUACACCUGAACUCAAGCCCAACAAUCAGAUGACUUUUGAAAAGGGCAAAAAUGUAAUAAAAAUUUAUAAUUUAAAUCAAAAAAGUCUACAAUUUCAUCCACCAUAGAUCUAAACAAAGAUCAAUCAUGAAACAAAGAUCUAAUUAUUGGAACACAACCUUAGAUUUCAAAGCCAAAACAAGAUCAGAUCAAUUUAAAUCAAGAUCAUGGGAAGAAAGAAAACUAAACUGGUAUCAUGAAAACAAAAAACCAAUCAAAACAUUAACAAAGAAAAUUAGUAAGCUAAACAUGAACCCAGACCAAGAUAAAACAUGGAUCAACCAGAGCAAGCCAUAUGACUAGAACCCAGAAUCCAAAACUGCCAGAACCAUAUAUAGGACCCAUUUCCAUAUUAGAACGCUUUGAUCGAACCCAGAUUCUGACGACUAAAUCAAAAAUCAUCAUAAAAAACUUGUUAAUGGACAUGAUAAUCAAUAAGUAUACAUAACUAGAUCUAGAACAAAUUUAAAUCCCAUAUCCAAAACAGCACCAGGGCGAAUAUCCAAACCCCUAAUUUGAAACCCCAAAACGGAAACCCCACUUCAGAUCAUAACCUCCAAAUAAGCACUCACGAAUGCCCUUACUAAUCUCGCAAGAAAACCCUUUAGUUUAUAAAACCCUCGGACUUGGCAAAAACAUAGAUAAAAAAUGAGAUUUUAGUGAAGGCUCUCAUAUUUCGCCGCCGGAAAGGCAGAAACAGAGCCCAAGCUCCGAAAAUGGAGAAAGAAAUGGAAGAGAUGGUGAACCAAAGAUGAGGAAGACGGUAAGAAAUGAAGCCGGAUGAGCAUGUAAGAAGCUGUUAAUGGAGGUAGCAACACCAACUUCCAAAAUCACCAGAAAUAAAGUUCAGAUCCAAACCCCCGAACCAAAAUCCCAUAACAGAUCCUCCAAAUCAUAUCAUAACUCCCAGAUCCAGCACAUAUAAGAUCAUCACCCCUACUAAUGUCGCUAGAAACCCCACAAUCUAUAAGCCCAUCGGACUCGACAUAAAAUAGAUCGUAAAAGAGACUUUCGAAUUGAAGGUCCUCAUUGCAGCUACCGAAGAGGCUAAAUAGGACCAAGCAAAACAAAAGUGGAGAGAGAGAGGAAAAGAUGGUGGGCCAAAGAGGAGGAGGAAGGGAGGAGAAAUGGAGAAUAGGUGGGCUGGAGAAGGAUGAUGAAGGAACCCUCCGAUCCACUAUGUUCUUGAAUUGUUAGCCACAUAUAAAUUGUUAGCUAUGUCUCGUCAGCAAAAUAUGUCCACGUGUCGGUCACGUUAGGCUAAGUGGCAUGUCCGUCAAUAAGAGGGAUAUAGUUGACCUAAAA